GCAGACCCUUACACUUUGUUUGUGUUCGAGAUGGCACUCAUGGGAUUUGCAGAGCACAGAAGGUUCCAAGACUGGGCCAAACCAGGUUCGAUGGGGAAACAAUAUUUCUUGGGGUUCGAGAAGUACCUUGGAGGGUCUGGUGAGCCGGCAUACCCUGGAGGACCACUGUUUAACCCACUUGGUUUUGGGAAAGAUGAGAAGUCAUUGAAGGAUUUGAAGCUGAAAGAAGUGAAGAAUGGGAGAUUGGCAAUGUUGGCAAUCUUGGGUUACUUCAUACAAGGGCUCGUGACAGGUGUAGGACCAUACCAGAACCUGUUGGAUCACUUGGCUGACCCUUUCAAUAACAAUGUCUUAACUAACCUCAAGUUCCAUUAGAUGAAAGUGCCUAUAUUUGUUCCAUGGAACCUAUAAGUUAUAAUUUUAUUUUAAACAAAUGGUAUCAUCAACAAGGGUUCUAAAUUACAUACAACCUUCCUGCAAUUUGCAAGCAAAGAGAAAUGAAUGAAGAAUUUAACUAAUGACAAAAUCACCAUGUCACUGCAUAUAAACCAAAUACAAUGUCAGAAUCACCAUGACAACAUAGAUACUAAGCUCAAUGCCUCAUCCAUGGAAUAUCAUUGAUGCAUUUCAGUAAACUUGUUAUCAAUUGGUAUCAUGAGAAUGAAAAUUAAAAACAAAAUUCAGUUUCUUUUUUUAAACCACACGUUGAAAGAAAGUGAACUUUUAAAUAGAAAAGCAAUUUCUAAUUUAGAGUUCUAGGGUGAUUCAAUCUUUCUUAUUGAUACUGCUAGUGCUAAAGCAUUGCAGAGAUGUUAUAACUUAAAAAUCCCGUGCCAAACUUCCCGAAUACCCAUUUCCUCUGUUGGAACUUGAGAAUUGAGUCUUUGGUUUUGGACUCCGAAGGUCUCAGAUUCCAAUUUUUGAAAAUGGAAAAGGGUGACCUCGCAUGACUCCAUUGAUUCUUCAUAUAAUGAAAAACUUAAUUCUAGUAUGCAUGAGGCUAAAGUUUCUGGAGUCAAUAAAAUUUUCAUAGUAUCGCAGAGCUUAUGCUGUUCGAGAAUUGAUUGAAGUCAUAAAAUUUGUCUUCUUUUUCUAGAAAAUUUUAGUUUAAUGUGUAUUAUUUUCAUUAUGUUACAACGAUUCGGUGUUAGGAAUGCAGGUUCAAUGAAGAAAAUUUCAAACUGAAAAUCAUGCAUUGCUCUUCUAGAAGGCAAACAAGUAUGAGUAAAGAAAAUGAACCUAUUGAAGAGCCUACAGGAAGAAUUACUCGAGCAGGGGCUAAAGCACAGAGGGGAGCAGAAGGAAUGUGCUCUUCAAAACCAUCCUUCAAACAGGACCAAAAAUGUGUUAUUCGUAUGAACUCCAAACGUGCAUCAUCGGAUGAGAACAGGACUUGUGUGGCUGCCACUGUUGGCCUUCAGCCUAAAAGAAGGGCAGUGCUUAAAGAUGUAACAAAUGUCAGUGCUAAUGGUAUGCAGAUCGACUGCUUAAAUGUAACCGAAAUUCAGGUGAGGACAUCUUCUGAUUUCGUCCUGAAGUUCAGUCUGCAAAUUUCGUAUGCACGAAAUAGUAAAUACAAAUAACAUUUAUCAUGAGCAGGAAAAACAAACUAAGUUAAAAAGUAUAACCUGUCUACGAAAAUGAGACGCUAGAGUUGCAGCAAAUGGGUACUGAAAUUUACCGACUAAUUGCGGAAGCAGAGAGCGACGGCGAAGGGACGCAGAAGAGACGAUGACGAAGAGAUGCAGAAGAGACGACGGUGAACAACGAUGAGUAGGUGAUCGAUCGACUGAGAUGCCUAGGGAUUUGGGGGAAAUUAAGGGAUUAGGGGAAAUCUAUUUUGGUCUUUUGGGGGAGAAGGCUGAGACUAUCGGGCAUGAAAGAAGGACAUAAAUUCUGAAAUGAAA
RNAcentral lists this long non-coding RNA (1907 nucleotides) under Gossypium barbadense (sea-island cotton). Its description in RNAcentral is "long non-coding RNA (GBAR_LNC008391)". Lineage: Eukaryota; Viridiplantae; Streptophyta; Magnoliopsida; Malvales; Malvaceae. The record is from RNAcentral.